RNAcentral lists this ribosomal RNA (635 nucleotides) under uncultured bacterium. Its description in RNAcentral is "bacterial SSU rRNA". It matches the Rfam family "Bacterial small subunit ribosomal RNA", at positions 8 to 694 of the family's 1533-position model. The record is from RNAcentral.
AGAGUUUGAUCCUGGCUCAGAACGAGCGCUGGCGGCAGGCCUAACACAUGCAAGUCGAGCGCCCGCAAGGGAGCGGCAGACGGGUGAGUAACGCGUGGGAACGUGCCCUUUGGUUCGGAAUAUUCCCGGGAAACUGGGAGCAAAACCGGAUAAGCCCUUCGGGGGAAAGUUUACGCCAAAGGAUCGGCCCGCGUUAGAUUAGGUAGUUGGUGGGGUAACGGCCUACCAAGCCUACGAUCUAUAGCUGAUCUGAGAGGAUGAUCAGCCACACUGGGACUGAGACACGGCCCAGACUCCUACGGGAGGCAGCAGUGGGGAAUCUUGGACAAUGGGCGCAAGCCUGAUCCAGCCAUGCCGCGUGGAUGACUGAAGGCCCUAGGGUUGUAAAGUCCUUUCGACGGGGACGAUAAUGACGGUACCCGUAGAAGAAGCCCCGGCUAACUUCGUGCCAGCAGCCGCGGUAAUACGAAGGGGGCUAGCGUUGUUCGGAUUUACUGGGCGUAAAGGGCGCGUAGGCGGAUUUUUAAGUCGGGGGUGAAAUCCCGGAGCUCAACUCCGGAACUGCCUUCGAUACUGGAAGUCUGGAGCACGGUAGAGGUGAGUGGAAUUCCGAGUGUAGCGGUGAAAUGCGUAGA